This 1086-nucleotide long non-coding RNA is filed under the name Homo sapiens (human). RNAcentral's name for it is "small nucleolar RNA host gene 17, transcript variant 1 (SNHG17)". Lineage: Eukaryota; Metazoa; Chordata; Mammalia; Primates; Hominidae. The record is from RNAcentral.
AGUCCUUCGCCGUCCCUCGCCGUCCUUCGCCAUCGCACGCCACCGCACCCCAUCUCUCGAAAUCUGCAGACAUCUUGAUUUUUCCCACGCUGUCUGUCAGGUCUCCGCCGCCACUCGACGCCAGGGCGCCGGGCCUUGUGGGCUGUGCUGCACCUCGGACGGCUUCGCACCAGCCAGCGCCCUCUCUCUCCUGCAGCACUCUGAUCUGCACCCCCUGAGGGGCUUCCACUGUCCGCGGGGUGAGAAUGCCCCUGGGAGUGUCACAUGACUGCCGCCCCAUGUGUGUGAGAGGCGUCCUCUGGGAGAGCAUGGAUCCUGAGGUCCCAGGAUUGUCAGCUGACCUCUGUCCUGUGUGCCCAGUGGCCCCAGGUGACGUGUCUUCAAGAAGAGGCUGAGCUGCGGUGCUUGUAAGGCAGGGUCUCAUUCUGUCACCCAGGCUGGAGUGCAGUGGUGCAAUGAUGGCUCACUGCAGCCUCGACCUGGGCUCAAGUGAUCCUCCACCUCAGCUUCCUGAGUAGCUGGGACCACAGAGUCAUGUGCUGUUCCUGGGGCUUGGAUGAUGUAGGGGAAGCAAGGUGAAAGUGGUAUCCCGUGGUUCCACGUUCUGUCCUGCUGUGGGGCUGUCCCUCACAUGCUUUCAGUGGCUGUUGCAGAGGAAGAGCCUCCGGAAAUCUGCGUGGGUCUCAGCCUUAGAUCCAAGGACAGUCCAAGGAAGUCCUAAGACCAUGGAGUUGGUGAUCUGGGAUCUGGGUUUGCUGAUAUUUCUCACCGUGAAUCUCUUGGUGGUGUUUGUGGGCACGAGAGGGGCAGAGAAUGGAGAGUGAGGCUACCACAUGAAGCGUCACCAGAGCUGCUCCCUGCUGCCUGCUCAGAGCACCCCGGAUCCACUGUUCAAUCUGCACAAGAUUCGGGGUCCAGACAUGGGAGACUUCAGCUGCCUCAGAGGACCGUGGACAGGGAAGGCCAGCCUCGCAUCCCUCUGUCCAUGCCUGGAAUGACUUUAAUAACCAAGAGUUUUAUUUUUGAAUUUGUAGCUGUCGUUCACUUUUUACCCACCCAUUCAAUAAACCUUACAGAAUUGCUCCA